UACGUAGGGUGCAAGCGUUGUCCGGAAUUAUUGGGCGUAAAGAGCUUGUAGGCGGUUUGUCGCGUCUGCUGUGAAAUUUCGGGGCUCAACCCCGAACUUGCAGUGGGUACGGGCAGACUAGAGUGUGGUAGGGGAGACUGGAAUUCCUGGUGUAGCGGUGAAAUGCGCAGAUAUCAGGAGGAACACCGGUGGCGAAGGCGGAUCUCUGGGCCUGUUCUGACGCUCAGGCACGAAAGCGUGGGGAGCAAACAGG
RNAcentral lists this ribosomal RNA (253 nucleotides) under uncultured bacterium. Its description in RNAcentral is "partial 16S ribosomal RNA". It matches the Rfam family "Bacterial small subunit ribosomal RNA", at positions 524 to 776 of the family's 1533-position model. The record is from RNAcentral.